RNAcentral lists this ribosomal RNA (253 nucleotides) under uncultured bacterium. Its description in RNAcentral is "partial 16S ribosomal RNA". It matches the Rfam family "Bacterial small subunit ribosomal RNA", at positions 524 to 776 of the family's 1533-position model. The record is from RNAcentral.
UACGUAGGGGGCAAGCGUUGUCCGGAAUCAUUGGGCGUAAAGAGCGUGUAGGCGGCCCGAUAAGUCCGCUGUGAAAGUCCAGGGCUCAACCCUGGAAUGCCGGUGGAUACUGUCGGGCUCGAAUCCGGAAGAGGUGAGUGGAAUUCCUGGUGUAGCGGUGAAAUGCGCAGAUAUCAGGAGGAAUACCGAUGGCGAAGGCAGGUCUCUGGACAGUUACUGACACUGAGGCACGAAGGCCAGGGGAGCAAACGGG